This 456-nucleotide ribosomal RNA is filed under the name actinobacterium iRIII6. Its description in RNAcentral is "bacterial SSU rRNA". It matches the Rfam family "Bacterial small subunit ribosomal RNA", at positions 8 to 481 of the family's 1533-position model. The record is from RNAcentral. Lineage: Bacteria; Bacillati; Actinomycetota; Actinomycetes.
AGAGUUUGAUUCCCUGGCUCAGGACGAACGCUGGCGGCGUGCUUAACACAUGCAAGUCGAACGGAAAGGCCCUUCGGGGUACUCGAGUGGCGAACGGGUGAGUAACACGUGGGUGAUCUGCCUCGUACUUUGGGAUAAGCCUGGGAAACUGGGUCUAAUACCGAAUAUGACCUCUGGAUGCAUGUCUGGUGGUGGAAAGUUUUUCGGUACGAGAUGGGCCCGCGGCCUAUCAGCUUGUUGGUGGGGUAAUGGCCUACCAAGGCGACGACGGGUAGCCGGCCUGAGAGGGCGACCGGCCACACUGGGACUGAGACACGGCCCAGACUCCUACGGGAGGCAGCAGUGGGGAAUAUUGCACAAUGGGCGCAAGCCUGAUGCAGCGACGCCGCGUGAGGGAUGACGGCCUUCGGGUUGUAAACCUCUUUCACCAGGGACGAAGAGUGAUAGACGGACCUG